CAGCCGCCGCGGUAAUACGGGGUGGGCGAGCGUUGCCCGGAAUUACUGGGUUUAAAGGGGGUGUAGGCGGUCCGGAGAGUCAGGUGUGUAAUCCAACCGCUCAACGGUUGGGCUGCACCUGAUACUUCCGGGCUAGAGGGCGGUAGAGGAGAGCGGAACUCCCGGUGUAGCGGUGAAAUGCGUAGAUAUCGGGAGGAACGCCGGUGGCGAAGGCGGCUCUCUGGGCCGUUCCUGACGCUGAGGCCCGAAAGGUGGGGGAGCGAAAGGGAUUAGAUACCCCUGUAGUCCCAGCCGUAAACGAUGGGCACUAGGUGUUCCUCCGAAGGGGGGAGUGCCGACGGGAAACCAUUAAGUGCCCCACCUGGGGAGUACGCCCGCAAGGGUGAAACUUAAAGGAAUUGGCGGG
Molecule: ribosomal RNA, 406 nt
Filed under: uncultured microorganism
Description: bacterial SSU rRNA
Rfam family: Bacterial small subunit ribosomal RNA
Source: RNAcentral